RNAcentral lists this ribosomal RNA (426 nucleotides) under uncultured bacterium. RNAcentral's name for it is "bacterial SSU rRNA". It matches the Rfam family "Bacterial small subunit ribosomal RNA", at positions 354 to 796 of the family's 1533-position model. The record is from RNAcentral.
GUAAGGAAUAUUGCACAAUGGGCGAAAGCCUGAUGCAGCAACGCCGCGUGCGCGAUGAAGGCCUUCGGGUCGUAAAGCGCUUUUAGGGAGGAUGAGGAAGGACAGUACUCCCAGAAUAAGGUACGGCUAACUACGUGCCAGCAGCCGCGGUAAAACGUAGGUACCGAGCGUUAUCCGGAUUCACUGGGCGUAAAGCGCGUGCAGGUGGUUUGGUAAGUCGGGCAUGAAAACUCUUGGCUCAACUGAGAGAAGCUGUCCGAUACUGCCAGACUUGAGGGUGUGAGAGGGAGGUGGAAUUCCGCGUGUAGUGGUGAAAUGCGUAGAUAUGCGGAGGAACACCAGUGGCGAAGGCGGCCUCCUGGCACACUCCUGACACUCAGACGCGAAAGCUAGGGGAGCGAACGGGAUUAGAUACCCGGGUAGUCC